CAUUAAAAUAAUUUCAUUUGUCUUGGCUGGAGCUACUCGGCCAGGGUUUAAGACUUUAAAUGAGAAUAAAGGGUGGUAUUUACGAGGAAAUGAGAGUGAAUAAGUCAUCUCUAACCUCUCCCAGCCUUUUUUUCAUAAGAGAGACCAUAUUAAACUUACAUGUUUGAAGACUGCUUCAUUCUGCCUCUAGUACCAGCGGUUUCUCUGUUCUGUGAUCAAUGUGAUUCACAGGAACUCCUUAAGUAACAAACGAAAUGAGCCAGGGGCGUGGAAAAUAUGACUUCUAUAUUGGUCUGGGAUUGGCUAUGAGCUCCAGCAUUUUCAUUGGAGGAAGUUUCAUUUUGAAAAAAAAAGGCCUCCUUCGACUUGCCAGGAAAGGCUCUAUGAGAGCAGGUCAAGGUGGCCAUGCAUAUCUUAAGGAAUGGUUGUGGUGGGCUGGACUGCUGUC
Molecule: long non-coding RNA, 448 nt
Filed under: Pan troglodytes (chimpanzee)
Lineage: Eukaryota; Metazoa; Chordata; Mammalia; Primates; Hominidae
Description: long non-coding RNA NONPTRT005546
Source: RNAcentral